AAUGUGUGCUACUUUUAGGUUUCAGUUCUUCGUACAAAGAUACCUUGCAAGCGGUCCGACAGAGUUUAUGUGCGAUUGCAAACCCGAACACAACGGCAGUAAGGUCACAAAGUUUCUAACGUGCUCCAAGAUUUCAAUUUGAAAUUGUCUGAACCGGAAUAGUCAAGAGAGCCGUGGACGAGAGAAAGAUUACCAAACCCGUGGGAUAUAAUCUGACUUGACAGAUAAUGUGAAUCGAUCUUAAAUUGUGGACCUAUUAGUUUCUGUAAAGAGAAGGCUGAGUAUUGGGUCGCUGCAAUGAAGUGAUAGAAAGCCCUACGUUCAGUCUGUCGAGAUGCUUCCCUGUUUCUAACUCAAAGGUUCUUCCAAAGAAGUUAUAGUGAAUUGGCAAUUUCAAAUUGAAAUCUUGGAGCACAUUAGAAACUUUGCGACCUUACUGACGUUGUGUUCGGGUUUGCAAUCGC
Photinus pyralis (common eastern firefly) is the source of this 464-nucleotide long non-coding RNA. RefSeq lists it as uncharacterized. Lineage: Eukaryota; Metazoa; Arthropoda; Insecta; Coleoptera; Lampyridae. The record is from RefSeq and is a predicted model, not a curated record. The transcript has 3 exons.